RNAcentral lists this small RNA (83 nucleotides) under Marmota monax (woodchuck). Lineage: Eukaryota; Metazoa; Chordata; Mammalia; Rodentia; Sciuridae. The record is from RNAcentral.
GCCGGGCGUGGUGGCACACACCUGUAAUCCCAGCAGCUCAGGAGGCUGAGGCAGGAGGAUUGCAAGUUCAAAGCCAGCCUCAG